This 508-nucleotide unclassified non-coding RNA is filed under the name uncultured Glomus. RNAcentral describes it as "SSU rRNA". It matches the Rfam family "Eukaryotic small subunit ribosomal RNA", at positions 569 to 1078 of the family's 1831-position model. The record is from RNAcentral. Lineage: Eukaryota; Fungi; Glomeromycota; Glomeromycetes; Glomerales; Glomeraceae.
AGCAGCCGCGGUAAUUCCAGCUCCAAUAGCGUAUAUUAAAGUUGUUGCAGUUAAAAAGCUCGUAGUUGAAUUUCGGGAUCAAAGGAUCGGUCAUGCCUUGGUAUGUACUGGUUUUAUUGGUUCUCACCUUCUAAAGAACCAUAAUGUCAUUCAUUUGAUGUUAUGGGGAAUUAGGACUGUUACCUUGGAAAAAUUAGAGUGUUUAAAGCAGGCUUACGCUUGAAUACAUUAGCAUGGAAUAAUGAAAUAGGACAUCAGAUUCUAUUUUGUUGGUUUCUAGGAUCGAUGUAAUGAUUAAUAGGGAUAGUUGGGGGCAUUAGUAUUCAAUUGUCAGAGGUGAAAUUCUUGGAUUUAUUGAAGACUAACUACUGCGAAAGCAUUUGCCAAGGAUGUUUUCAUUAAUCAAGAACGAAAGUUAGGGGAUCGAAGACGAUCAGAUACCGUCGUAGUCUUAACCAUAAACUAUGCCGACUAGGGAUCGGAUGAUGUCUAAUUUUAUAAUGACUCU